AAGAAAGAUUAAUACCCGAUAGUAUAAUUAGACCGCAUGGUCUUAUUAUUAAAGAAUUUCGGUUAUCGAUGGGGAUGCGUUCCAUUAGGCAGUUGGUGAGGUAACGGCUCACCAAACCUUCGAUGGAUAGGGGUUCUGAGAGGAAGGUCCCCCACAUUGGAACUGAGACACGGUCCAAACUCCUACGGGAGGCAGCAGUGAGGAAUAUUGGUCAAUGGGCGCAGGCCUGAACCAGCCAAGUAGCGUGAAGGAUGACUGCCCUAUGGGUUGUAAACUUCUUUUAUAUGGGAAUAAAGUUUUCCACGUGUGGAAUUUUGUAUGUACCAUAUGAAUAAGGAUCGGCUAACUCCGUGCCAGCAGCCGCGGUAAUACGGAGGAUCCGAGCGUUAUCCGGAUUUAUUGGGUUUAAAGGGAGCGUAGGUGGACAGUUAAGUCAGUUGUGAAAGUUUGCGGCUCAACCGUAAAAUUGCAGUUGAUACUGGCUGUCUUGAGUACAGUAGAGGUGGGCGGAAUUCGUGGUGUAGCGGUGAAAUGCUUAGAUAUCACGAAGAACUCCGAUUGCGAAGGCAGCUCACUGGACUGCAACUGACACUGAUGCUCGAAAGUGUGGGUAUCAAACAGGAUUAGAUACCCUGGUAGU
RNAcentral lists this ribosomal RNA (640 nucleotides) under uncultured bacterium. RNAcentral describes it as "bacterial SSU rRNA". It matches the Rfam family "Bacterial small subunit ribosomal RNA", at positions 155 to 794 of the family's 1533-position model. The record is from RNAcentral.